This 376-nucleotide ribosomal RNA is filed under the name uncultured bacterium. Its description in RNAcentral is "partial 16S ribosomal RNA". It matches the Rfam family "Bacterial small subunit ribosomal RNA", at positions 338 to 729 of the family's 1533-position model. The record is from RNAcentral.
CCUACGGGCGGCAGCAGUGGGGAAUAUUGGGCAAUGGGCGCAAGCCUGACCCAGCGACGCCGCGUGAGGGAAGACGGUCUUCGGAUUGUAAACCUCUUUCAGCAGGGAAGACAAAAGGACGGUACCUGCAGAAGAAGCCACGGCUAACUACGUGCCAGCAGCCGCUGUAAUUCGGAGGUGGGAAGCGUUAUACGGAAUUACUGGGUGGAAAGGGUGUGUAGGCGGGUUUGGAAGUCAGAGGUGAAAUUGAGGGGCUCAACCUGAGAACUGCAUGUGAAACUAGAGUUCUUGAGUGUGUGAGAGGCAGACGGAAUGCGUGGUGUAGCGGGGAAAUGCGUAGAUAUGAGGAGGAACACCAGUGGCGAAGGCGGUCUGC